CACCGGCAGCUCUAGUGGUAGCAAUUUUUUAUUGGGCCUAAAGCGUCCGUAGCCGGUUUAAUAAGUCUCUGGUGAAAUCCUGUAGCUUAACUGUGGGAAUUGCUGGAGAUACUAUUAGACUUGAGACCGGGAGAGGUUAGAGGUACUCCCAGGGUAGAGGUGAAAUUCUGUAAUCCUGGGAGGACCGCCUGUUGCGAAGGCGUCUAACUGGAACGGUUCUGACGGUGAGGGACGAAAGUUAGGGGCGCGAACCGGAUUAGAUACCCGGGUAGUCCCUGAGCGGGCUGGCAAGG
This 293-nucleotide ribosomal RNA is filed under the name uncultured prokaryote. Its description in RNAcentral is "partial 16S ribosomal RNA". It matches the Rfam family "Archaeal small subunit ribosomal RNA", at positions 474 to 771 of the family's 1478-position model. The record is from RNAcentral.